GGCUGAGAAAAUGUGCAGUGGAAUGCGGCUCACACUUCAGGGAUGCCACCACAAGGCUGAUGUGUUGGGUAGAACCACGGAGGCUGCCUGCCAAGGUGGAGCGCUAGGCUGAAUUCAGACGACGGUGUUAUAGGAGGAGUGUGGUGGGGACCAGGUACCAGACUUGUUCCUGUGUGGACUCCUAUACCUCCAGGAAUCAGCACUCAGCCCCCAUUUCAUCUCCACAAUCAACUGGUUUAUGGCAUCACUCCAAAUUUUUUGGAUGAAGAAACUAGAGAUUAAAGAAGCCAUGUCACUUGCUCUGGUCACACAGACAGUGGAAGAAGCAGACCCUGAGCUUAUACCUUUUGUGGGACCAUCUUCCCCAGCUUACCACCACAAGCCAUGUCUUCAAGAGGGUCCUGAUACCUUCCAUCCAUUCUCCAGGAGAAGCCACCAUAGACCUGACAGGUUCCAGUUCAUCUGGUUCCUGCAGGUUGCUCAAUGGUUUAGAAUAUAGUUCUGGCCUUGCAGUGGAAUAAACAAAGAACAAGUCUUAGA
This 540-nucleotide small RNA is filed under the name Rattus norvegicus (Norway rat). RNAcentral's name for it is "uncharacterized LOC102549662". Lineage: Eukaryota; Metazoa; Chordata; Mammalia; Rodentia; Muridae. The record is from RNAcentral.